GUGGGGGGGCACCAGGACGUGUAUCCCUUGGGCCUGUGCUAGUUGCUACAAAUUUGUCGAACUCAUUCACAUCAGCAUUUUAAAUCAAUACAUAUCUUAAAGUGAAAGCUAUUAUCUUUUGAACUUACUUGUAUGAGUGUUUGCUGUUGUUGAAUCUGUGUAGCAUAAUAUUCAUGUUGCGCAGCUUGUUGCUUCAAGUAAUCCUGAUGUCGCCUAAGUUCUUCUCGCGGUUGCUCCACUUUUGCUGGAUCUUGAGUGGAGCGACAGGAGCUACGAGUAGCAGACCUCGACGAGCCUCCACGCUGAACCCUCACCUGGCUCG
Molecule: long non-coding RNA, 322 nt
Filed under: Zea mays
Lineage: Eukaryota; Viridiplantae; Streptophyta; Magnoliopsida; Poales; Poaceae
Description: long non-coding RNA (ZMAY_LNC004392)
Source: RNAcentral